UUUGCUCUACUGAGCAGUCCAAGUCAUCCAUAAUUCGCUCCGUGGCUUCCAGCCAGUACUCAGCCACAUUUGGGGCUACUCCAGAUACACCCCUAAAAACUUCCGCUCCGUUGGCCCGGAGUCGCUCAGAAAUGGACCCCCUAUUCAUGGGCCCGAUAUUAGCUCCAUUCACCCUUUCCAAAACUCUUAACAUGGCCUGGGACAGAGCGUCAUCCCCCACGGCCCGAUCAUACGGC
RNAcentral lists this long non-coding RNA (236 nucleotides) under Gossypium barbadense (sea-island cotton). RNAcentral describes it as "long non-coding RNA (GBAR_LNC005551)". Lineage: Eukaryota; Viridiplantae; Streptophyta; Magnoliopsida; Malvales; Malvaceae. The record is from RNAcentral.